UACGGAGGGUGCAAGCGUUGUUCGGAAUCACGGGGCGUAAAGGGCGUGUAGGCGGUCCGCUAAGUCUGAUGUGAAAGCCCGGGGCUCACCCCCGGAAGGGCAUUGGAAACUGGCGGACUCGAGUCCCGGAGAGGAAGGUGGAAUUCCUGGUGUAGCGGUGAAAUGCGUAGAUAUCAGGAGGAAUACCGGUGGCGAAGGCGGCCUUCUGGACGGUGACUGACGCUGAGGAGCGAAAGCCAGGGGAGCAAACGGG
RNAcentral lists this ribosomal RNA (253 nucleotides) under uncultured bacterium. Its description in RNAcentral is "partial 16S ribosomal RNA". It matches the Rfam family "Bacterial small subunit ribosomal RNA", at positions 524 to 776 of the family's 1533-position model. The record is from RNAcentral.